GGUCACUGCUAUUGGGGUUCGGCUAAGCCAUGCGAGCGGAGGGCGCGGUCGCAAGAUCGUGGCCCCGCACACGGCUCAGUAACACGUAGUCAACCUACCCUUGGGACGGGGACAACGCCGGGAAACUGGCGAUAAUCCCCGAUAGGUGAGGGAUGCUGGGAUGCUUCUUCGCUCAAAGCUCCGGCGCCCGAGGAUGGGACUGCGGCCUAUCAGGCUGUUGGUGGUGUGACGGACCACCAAACCUACGACGGGUACGGGCGAUGGGAGUCGGAGCCUGGAGAUGGGGACUGAGACAAGGCCCCAGGCCCUACGGGGCGCAGCAGGCGCGAAAACUCCGCAAUGCGCGCAAGCGUGACGGGGAACCCCAAGUGCCGUUGGCUUUUGAUCGACGGCUUUUCGGAAGUCCAAUAAGCUUCCGGAAUAAGGGCUGGGUAAGACUGGUGCCAGCCGCCGCGGUAACACCAGCAGCCCAAGUGGUGGCCGCGAUAUUGGGCCUAAAGCGCUCGUAGCCGGAUCAGCAAGUCCUUUGUGAAAUCGGGCCGCCCAACGGUUCGGCGUGCAAAGGAUACUGUUGGUCUUGAGACCGGGAGAGGUCGGAGGUACUCUUGGGGUAGCGGUGAAAUGCUGUAAUCCUGGGGGGACCACCAGUGGCGAAGGCGUCCGACCAGAACGGAUCUGACGGUGAGGGGCGAAGGCUAGGGGAGCGAACGGGAUUAGAUACCCCGGUAGUCCUAGCUGUAAAGCAUGCGGGCCAGGUGUCUAGCGCUCCUUGAGGGCGCUAUGUGCCGGAGGGAAGCCGUUAAGCCCGCCGCCUGGGAAGUACGGCCGCAAGGCUGAAACUUAAAGAAAUUGGCGGGGGAGCACCACAAGGGGUGGAACCUGCGGUUCA
This 889-nucleotide ribosomal RNA is filed under the name uncultured euryarchaeote. RNAcentral describes it as "bacterial SSU rRNA". It matches the Rfam family "Archaeal small subunit ribosomal RNA", at positions 21 to 904 of the family's 1478-position model. Lineage: Archaea; Methanobacteriati; Methanobacteriota. The record is from RNAcentral.